This 517-nucleotide ribosomal RNA is filed under the name uncultured bacterium. RNAcentral describes it as "bacterial SSU rRNA". It matches the Rfam family "Bacterial small subunit ribosomal RNA", at positions 28 to 576 of the family's 1533-position model. The record is from RNAcentral.
AACGAACGCUGGCGGCGUGCCUAACACAUGCAAGUCGAACGCGUGGCUUCGGCCACGAGUGGCGCACGGGUGAGUAACGCGUGGGAACCUGCCCUUGAGUGGGGGAUAACCCGGGGAAACCCGGGCUAAUACCGCAUACGUCCUUAUCGGGAGACCGGUUUGGAGAAAGAUUUAUCGCUCGAGGAUGGGCCCGCGUCGGAUUAGCUAGUUGGUGAGGUAACGGCUCACCAAGGCGACGAUCCGUAGCUGGUCUGAGAGGAUGAUCAGCCACACUGGGACUGAGACACGGCCCAGACUCCUACGGGAGGCAGCAGUGGGGAAUAUUGGACAAUGGGGGCAACCCUGAUCCAGCAAUGCCGCGUGAGUGAUGAAGGCCUUAGGGUUGUAAAGCUCUUUCGGCGGGACGAUGAUGACGGUACCCGCAGAAGAAGCCCCGGCUAACUUCGUGCCAGCAGCCGCGGUAAUACGAAGGGGGCUAGCGUUGUUCGGAAUUACUGGGCGUAAAGGGCGCGCAGGC